RNAcentral lists this ribosomal RNA (253 nucleotides) under uncultured bacterium. RNAcentral describes it as "partial 16S ribosomal RNA". It matches the Rfam family "Bacterial small subunit ribosomal RNA", at positions 524 to 776 of the family's 1533-position model. The record is from RNAcentral.
UACUUAGGGGGCGAGCGUUGUCCGGAUUUAUUGGGCGUAAAGAGCGUGUAGGCGGUUCGGUAAGUCUGUCGUGAAAUCCUGAGGCUCAACCUCGGACGUGCGAUGGAUACUGCCGGGCUAGAGGAUGGUAGAGGCGAGUGGAAUUCCCGGUGUAGCGGUGAAAUGCGCAGAUAUCGGGAGGAACACCAGUAGCGAAGGCGGCUCGCUGGGCCAUUCCUGACGCUGAGACGCGAAAGCUAGGGGAGCGAACAGG